GGAUAAGCCUAGCGCUAAGGCUCAACGGGAUGGUCAGCAGCAAUGUUGGUCGUCUUCUCCGAGAGCCGUUGAGCGGUSAGCGUUACAAACUGCGAUGUUUAGUUGAACCAUUGGUAGUAAGUUGGCAACAAUUUGCUACCCUCAGCCUAGCAUGCAAGUUCCAUUGACUUGGACUAAUUGCAUAUGACUACUUGAUUGGGGCAACUUGAUUAAGUAGUUGAGCCAAAGUGGGUGAAAGCCCUAUACCGUGCAGGCAUUGGUUCUACGGAUUGCAGAGGGCCGCAAGGCCCGAUUUUUAAGAGUCGAGUUGCUUGAGAGUGCAACUUAAAGUGCGAGGUAAACUACUCGUAAGGCUACGCAAUAUGGCUACGACACCGAUAGCAAACAAGUACCGUGAGGGAAAGUUGAAAUAGAACUUUGCAGAGAGAGUUAACAGGGCGUGAAACCGUUAAUUGGCAAACGAAUCGGAGCCACGAAGUCGUUUCGUUGUUAAGCUUCGGCUGGGUUCAGUCCAAAUUGCAAAAUUUGGGUGUAUUCUCGUGCUAAGCCUAACUUUGUAAGCGUACACUGCAACUAGUUAGACAAUCAAAGAUGGGCACAGUUGGAGUUGGCUUGAAGCAAUUCUUGUUCAGCUUUCAACGAAGCAUUUGUUUACCCGUGUUAGUAGUAGUGCGGUAGAACUUCGGUUUUAUUCGUGCUGCUGGGCAUGUUGGUAAGUGAACUAUCAUUGAAUACUGACUAGCAAAAUAAAAAUCSCCUCUUGGCGUAACACAAAAAGCUUUUGCUUAUACUAGAGUCUACAUGCUUGACCAUAAGGUUUAAGUUCAGCAUUUUUGAAUUUAGACUUGCUUGCUACCAAUGGGGCAACUCUUGGUGCUUGUAUAGCUUCUAUCUAAUCGGGUGUUGACUUGAUCUUGUGUCGUUUGAGUAUGAAACGAUUGGAUUUUUGUAUAAAGUAAAACGCAAUU
RNAcentral lists this ribosomal RNA (968 nucleotides) under Tumescoptes dicrus. Its description in RNAcentral is "partial large subunit ribosomal RNA". Lineage: Eukaryota; Metazoa; Arthropoda; Arachnida; Trombidiformes; Eriophyidae. The record is from RNAcentral.